AGUGAACGCUGGCGGUAGGCCUAACACAUGCAAGUCGAACGGCAGCACAGUAAGAGCUUGCUCUUACGGGUGGCGAGUGGCGGACGGGUGAGGAAUACAUCGGCAUCUACUUUUUCGUGGGGGAUAACGUAGGGAAACUUACGCUAAUACCGCAUACGACCUACGGGUGAAAGCAGGGGAUCUUCGGACCUUGCGCGAUUGAAUGAGCCGAUGUCGGAUUAGCUAGUUGGCGGGGUAAAGGCCCACCAAGGCGACGAUCUGUAGCUGGUCUGAGAGGAGGAUCAGCCACACGGUGGCUCAGAUACGCGGCAGACUCCUACGCGAGGCACCGGAGUGGAAUAUUGGGGAAGGGGCGCAGGCGUGUGCCACACAUACCGCGUGAGUGUGGAGGACCUCCGCGGUGUGAAGCACUCUUGUUGUGAAAAAGAAGAACCGUGUUAUUACCCCGCUAUGCUGACGGUACCCAAAGAGUAAGCACCGGCUAACUACGUG
Molecule: ribosomal RNA, 492 nt
Filed under: uncultured bacterium
Lineage: Bacteria
Description: partial 16S ribosomal RNA
Rfam family: Bacterial small subunit ribosomal RNA
Source: RNAcentral